UGCAGCCGCGGUAAUUCCAGCUCCAAUAGCGUAUAUUAAAGUUGUUGCAGUUAAAAAGCUCGUAGUUGAAUUUCGGGGUCAGCAAGUUGGUCGUGCCACUGGUAUGCACUGGCUUUGCUGAUUCCUCCUUCUUGAAGAACUGUAAUGCUAUUAAUUUAGUGUUGCAGGGAAACAGGACUGUUACUUUGAAAAAUUAGAGUGUUUAAAGCAGGCUAACGCUUGAAUACAUUAGCAUGGAAUAAUGAAAUAGGACGUUUGAUCCUAUUUUGUUGGUUUCUAGGAUUGACGUAAUGAUUAAUAGGGAUAGUUGGGGCAUUAGUAUUCAAUUGUCAGAGGUGAAAUUCUUGGAUUUAUUGAAGACUAACUACUGCGAAAGCAUUUGCCAAGGAUGUUUUCAUUAAUCAAGAACGAAAGUUAGGGGAUCGAAGACGAUCAGAUACCAUCGUAGUCUUAACCAUAAACUAUGCCGACUAGGGAUC
RNAcentral lists this ribosomal RNA (479 nucleotides) under uncultured Glomus. RNAcentral's name for it is "SSU rRNA". It matches the Rfam family "Eukaryotic small subunit ribosomal RNA", at positions 569 to 1054 of the family's 1831-position model. The record is from RNAcentral. Lineage: Eukaryota; Fungi; Glomeromycota; Glomeromycetes; Glomerales; Glomeraceae.